CAACAAGAAUCCCCAUCUUGGGGGAUCUCAAGAGUCUGCCUCAGCAGCAGGGAAGACUGUGGUACUAACCUUUCUAAUAAUCUAAUCUCUGCUCCACCUUUCUGAGUUCUACUACUGACCCUCAGAAGAGGUUCUCUGCCAAAUACAGAGAGCUCAAAGGCAAAAGUCAAAUUAAGAGUCCUGCCUUCCCAUCCAACUUACUGUUUCAGGUGGCUUCAAGGGAAGCUCCAGGUAAGCACAUUAAAUUGGGGGGUGAGGAGGCGAGGCUAAGCGCAGAAGCCAGGAAAUAACAGACCAAACACUUCAGGGCUGAGAAUUAAGAUGUGUCUAGGCUGGAUCUUCGGCUGUGAUUACCACAGCAGAACUGAUUAGAAGCCAAGAGAGCAGAAGCUUCUAGUUUUUUGACAGAACUGUGUUGCCAAAGAAACCACAGCUGAAUCUGAUAAAAGCUGGAGAUUAUUUGACUCCUACAGCUCCACUCAAGUCCCCAAACCCACACCAGCAGGAGGUGGUUUGUGAAAGCCAAGGAGCCCUAAAUAAAAGCACAUUCUUUCCAGUUCCGUUUCAGAUAAGGCCACAGAGAAUAAUGAACGUGGAAGCUCCACUUCCCAGAAAUCACGGAGGACCAGGUGGGCCGAGUAGAAGAAGGGAAGGCAAGAGAUGAAGCCCAGGACCACAUAACAAAGACCCUCAAGUGAAUGCCCAGCUUUGGAGUUUGGACUUGAUCCUAAGAGUUACAAGGGACCACAGAAAAUUUCAGAGCCAGUGAGUGCUGUGACCAGAUUGCACAAUCCCCUACCCUUUGGACAAAAUGGGCUGGUGACAGUCUCCUGCACACAGAAAGCCUCCAGGAGAAGUGCCCAAUUAAGAUGGAAAGUUCCUAAAUUGCUAUGUUAGUCACUGGAAACCCCAGGCCAGAUUGCUGGUCAGUGGGAAGUGAUGUCAGCUGGGUCAGCGGCUGCUUCUAGCAAUACAGAGAAGAGAACGGAUGGAAAAGGAAGGACCAUCUCCCCCCACGAAGCAUUGGUCAUCCACACACACUCCCAUCUUGGGAGGCAGCAUGACGUAAUGGGAAAACAGAAGCCCAGGGCCACCCCUCGUGGGUGGCAGCAGGAACUCAGCCACAGCCUGACUCUCUGUGGGCUGAACUUUCCUUACUCGUGAUGGUAAUACAAGAGAAACAGGAAUUAAACUCUAAGGUGCCUUCCAGCUUAGACAUUUUUGUUCCAUGACGGUGCCA
Molecule: long non-coding RNA, 1240 nt
Filed under: Homo sapiens (human)
Lineage: Eukaryota; Metazoa; Chordata; Mammalia; Primates; Hominidae
Description: HSALNT0050844
Source: RNAcentral